Poecilia latipinna (sailfin molly) is the source of this 1813-nucleotide long non-coding RNA. RefSeq lists it as uncharacterized. The transcript is spliced from 2 exons. Lineage: Eukaryota; Metazoa; Chordata; Actinopteri; Cyprinodontiformes; Poeciliidae. The record is from RefSeq and is a predicted model, not a curated record.
CAACUCAAUAUGAAAAUGGCUGCAAACAGAGGCAAAACUAUACAACCAUACAUCUUUGAAAAGCAAUAGUGAAGCCUCCUGCACAACUAACCAGAAUGCAGCAAGUCAACAACUAAACUCUUGACUUUUCCAGCAGCCAUUGUACAGACUAAAACCAGCUGACCAACCGCUGGAGAUCAGCUGGGUUGCUAGGUGACGGCGUGGCGCCCGCUGAACGUGACUCAUCAGUAGUUUUAGACAUAAAACCCGCCACCGAAUCGCCAGAAAUCACUCAGCUGUUUUGCUUCUUAGAAGCAUAAAAAUAUUAAAAUGUGAAUUCUGCGUAAUGUUUCACCACUGAAGCUGCAAUAAACCGUUUUCAUGGUGGGAAGUUUUCCAUGGAUCAGGAAUACUAAUUUAGCGGUUUUCCUAUAUUAAGAGUGUUGGUCACUUCCUGUUGGUCACUUCCUGUUGUGAGGGGUUUAAUGGCUGCUGCUGAACCGCCUGCUGGUGUCGCCCCUGAUCCGUUUCACUGCAGUCCAGUUUCUGGUACCAGGAACGUUUGGGUCUUUCACAUGUGGAAAGCUUUUUCUGGCUCUCAGGUUCUGAAAGCCCAGCCGAUGUAGAGCGGUCCGUUUCAAAGCCGCAGCUCAGAUUGAAGCGAGGUUAUGUUGAGAGAGCAUCAGCAGUCAGCAGCUGCAGGUUUGCACCGAUUGGACAGAAUCUUUAUUUUAAGGUGGAUUUAAUCCAUCCAACCAGAAACUGCCUGAUUCAUUUGAUAAAACUCUUCAACUUUACCAACAGAUAUUCAUGGAGGGUUUAAAACGAAACAAAGAAAAAAAUGGGUUAACUCUAAUCAGUCGAUUGUUUAUGAUGUCACACAGCACUCACUUCCAUAAACUUAAGAUCUCAAAAAUGUUUUUACAAGCAUGGAAACUCUCAUCUAGUUCUUACAGAUGUUUUUCAGUCAACUUCAGAAACUCAGAACCAAUAAAAUCCAGUUGGAUUAAAUAUAAUUUUGGACUUUGGAUCCUGAAUUUUGGCUUGUUCUGCUCACCAACACGUUUAAUUUGGACUCCUGAGGGAGAGACUCCCCCUGCUGGCCAACCUGAGUAAGCAGACAGGUGGAUAUCAGAACCAACAACCAGAACAAACCAGAACAUUUAACCCACAUGGAGCCCGACCCGUUUCAGCAGAACCUCCAGACUCCGGGAACCUCGGCCCGGAUCUGAAGGGCUGGGCGCCUCCAGUAGCUCCACAGGGAACUGUUCCCUCACCGUUUGGGUUUUGAAAAUAAAUUCACUUAAUAAAACGCCAAUUUAGAAAAAAACCUAAUGUUUUGACAAAACAUAUUGUGGGGACCUGGUGUGUUUUUGGCACUUUCAAAAUUAGUGUAUUUUGCAAAACUGCAAAGGAAACAUUUUUUUUGCCUCACCAGUCACAUGACCAACAACAGGAUGUUACUACUGCUGGAAACCUCGAAGAGGAAAACAGAAAGUGGUUGGGGGAAGAUAGUGCUGCGUAUAUUUUAAUUACUUAUGUGAACAAACGUAUUCAUGUGAUUUUAAUUGUGUCUCUUACUUAAUGGAAACACAACAAUUGUAAAAUAAUUUUUUAGCAAAAUACUAACUGAACUCAGCUGCUGUCAGAACAGCAGUGGUUCACUCAGAGAUCAGAUAUUUCAUCCAUCUUUGAACUGGUGAAGGUCGUUCCUCUGAGCCGCGAUCGCCACUGUAAUCACAGGAUGAAGCGGCGUUGUGUUACCGUGGCGUUGCGUUUCCACGGCAGCUCAGCAGUGGAAACCACUUCAUGUUUCACAUAAAAUAAAAAAAAA